GCAAUAGAGGCGCGAAUGUCAAGAGUACCUGCCUGGAGGCUGCGGAGAGCCUGGGAAGGACAGGAAAAGGGGGAUUCGCCGAAACAGGCAUUUUCCGCAGAUGCUUAAGUUGGGGUGCAGGCGAAGAGGCUGCACACUCUCACCUUAGGGUGGAG
RNAcentral lists this non-coding RNA (155 nucleotides) under chicken gut metagenome. Its description in RNAcentral is "Lysine riboswitch". It matches the Rfam family "Lysine riboswitch aptamer", at positions 9 to 169 of the family's 182-position model. From Rfam's summary of the family: Riboswitches are metabolite binding domains within certain messenger RNAs that serve as precision sensors for their corresponding targets. Allosteric rearrangement of mRNA structure is mediated by ligand binding, and this results in modulation of gene expression. The record is from RNAcentral.